This 253-nucleotide ribosomal RNA is filed under the name uncultured bacterium. Its description in RNAcentral is "partial 16S ribosomal RNA". It matches the Rfam family "Bacterial small subunit ribosomal RNA", at positions 524 to 776 of the family's 1533-position model. The record is from RNAcentral.
UACGUAGGGUCCGAGCGUUGUCCGGAAUUAUUGGGCGUAAAGGGUGCGUAGGCGGCGGAGUAAGUUGGGUGUGAAAUCCCGGGGCUUAACCUCGGAAUUGCAUUCAAUACUGCUUCGCUCGAGUACUGGAGAGGAGGCUGGAAUUUACGGUGUAGCAGUGAAAUGCGUAGAUAUCGUAAGGAAGGCCGGUGGCGAAAGCGAGCCUCUGGACAGUUACUGACGCUGAUGCACGAAGGCCAGGGGAGCAAACGGG